This 464-nucleotide ribosomal RNA is filed under the name Vreelandella stevensii. RNAcentral's name for it is "partial 16S ribosomal RNA". It matches the Rfam family "Bacterial small subunit ribosomal RNA", at positions 339 to 795 of the family's 1533-position model. Lineage: Bacteria; Pseudomonadati; Pseudomonadota; Gammaproteobacteria; Oceanospirillales; Halomonadaceae. The record is from RNAcentral.
CUACGAGCGGCUGCAGUGGGGAAUAUUGGACAAUGGGCGAAAGCCUGAUCCAGCCAUGCCGCGUGUGUGAAGAAGGCCUUCGGGUUGUAAAGCACUUUCAGUGGGGAAGAAAGCCUUGGGGCUAAUACCCUCGAGGAAGGACAUCACCCACAGAAGAAGCACCGGCUAACUCCGUGCCAGCAGCCGCGGUAAUACGGAGGGUGCGAGCGUUAAUCGGAAUUACUGGGCGUAAAGCGCGCGUAGGCGGUCUGAUAAGCCGGUUGUGAAAGCCCCGGGCUCAACCUGGGAACGGCAUCCGGAACUGUCAGGCUAGAGUGCAGGAGAGGAAGGUAGAAUUCCCGGUGUAGCGGUGAAAUGCGUAGAGAUCGGGAGGAAUACCAGUGGCGAAGGCGGCCUUCUGGACUGACACUGACGCUGAGGUGCGAAAGCGUGGGUAGCAAACAGGAUUAGAUACCCUUGUAGUC